AGUGAACGCUGGCGGUAGGCCUAACACAUGCAAGUCGAACGGCAGCACAGUAAGAGCUUGCUCUUACGGGUGGCGAGUGGCGGACGGGUGAGGAAUACAUCGGAAUCUACUUUUUCGUGGGGGAUAACGUAGGGAAACUUACGCUAAUACCGCAUACGACCUACGGGUGAAAGCAGGGGUUCUUCGGAACUUGCGCGAUUGAAUGAGCCGAUGUCGGAUUAGCUAGUUUGCGGGGUAAAGGCCCACCAAGGCGACGAUCCGUCGCUGGUCUGAGAGGAUGAUCAGCCACACUGGAACUGAGACACGGUCCAGACUCCUACGGGAGGCGACAGUGGGGAAUAUUGGACAAUGGGCGCAAGCCUGAUCCAGCCAUACCGCGUGGGUGAAGAAGGCCUUCGGGUUGUAAAGCCCUUUUGUUGGGAAAGAAAAGCAGCAGGUUAAUACCCCGCUGUUCUGACGGUACCCAAAGAAUAAGCACCGGCUAACUUCGUG
This 492-nucleotide ribosomal RNA is filed under the name uncultured bacterium. Its description in RNAcentral is "partial 16S ribosomal RNA". It matches the Rfam family "Bacterial small subunit ribosomal RNA", at positions 29 to 507 of the family's 1533-position model. The record is from RNAcentral.